CAAGUUAAAUUAUUUUUAUUUACACUAAAAAAAAUAUUGUUUAAUCAAUAUAACUUGA
This 58-nucleotide transfer RNA is filed under the name Planopleura kaempferi. RNAcentral describes it as "tRNA-Val". The record is from RNAcentral. Lineage: Eukaryota; Metazoa; Arthropoda; Insecta; Hemiptera; Cicadidae.